This 253-nucleotide ribosomal RNA is filed under the name uncultured bacterium. Its description in RNAcentral is "partial 16S ribosomal RNA". It matches the Rfam family "Bacterial small subunit ribosomal RNA", at positions 524 to 776 of the family's 1533-position model. The record is from RNAcentral.
UACGGAGGGAGCGAGCGUUGUUCGGAAUUACUGGGCGUAAAGGGUGCGCAGGCGGCUUUGUAAGUUGGGAGUGAAAUCCCUGGGCUUAACCCAGGAAUUGCUUUCAAAACUACAGAGCUAGAGUCUCGGAGAGGUUGGCGGAAUUCCGAGUGUAGAGGUGAAAUUCGCAGAUAUUCGGAGGAACACCAGUGGCGAAGGCGGCCAACUGGACGGGUACUGACGCUGAGGUACGAAAGCGUGGGGAUCAAACAGG